CAGUCGCCGCGGUAAAACGUAGGGUGCAAGCGUUAAUCGGAAUUACUGGGCGUAAAGCGUGCGCAGGCGGUUUGUUAAGACAGAUGUGAAAUCCCCGGGCUCAACCUGGGAACUGCAUUUGUGACUGGCAAGCUAGAGUAUGGUAGAGGGGGAUGGAAUUCCGCGUGUAGCAGUGAAAUGCGUAGAUAUGCGGAGGAACACCGAUGGCGAAGGCAAUCCCCUGGACCUGUACUGACGCUCAUGCACGAAAGCGUGGGGAGCAAACAGGAUUAGAUACCCCUGUAGUCCCUGUCUCUUAUAC
RNAcentral lists this ribosomal RNA (301 nucleotides) under uncultured bacterium. Its description in RNAcentral is "partial 16S ribosomal RNA". It matches the Rfam family "Bacterial small subunit ribosomal RNA", at positions 509 to 807 of the family's 1533-position model. The record is from RNAcentral.